CAGUAGUCUCUGCAAAUUAUCUAAAAUGGUUACAGUACCUGCAUUGGAAAUUCAGUCAUGCCUAUGUAGGGAUGAGAAGAGGAGAGCCGAUUUCCACGCUGGUCUCUUCCAUAAAAGGAAAGAGCUGCUGCAUAAGCCACUUUAAUAGCAGAGGAAGCUGCAAAUUGAUUUUUUGACAGGAUUGCUGGAGAGAAUGAUUAGGAGUGGGUGGAACUGACUGAGCAAAAUGAGAAAUGAAAGAGAACAACCAAGGGAUUUCCUAAAGCUCCACCUAAUGUUUGGCUGUGGCUCUCUGUACCUGUUUCCAGCUGUUGCUGGGUGAAGCCUCCCUGAUGAUGAUUAUGCUAGGCUUCUGUCUGGGCUGCUGUUCUGAGUGCUGCCUUGCUUCUGGGGAAAAUAGAAGGUUACAGGAGAACUUCUGGGAUGUUAUCACAUUAAGUAACUCCAAGCUGUUCUUCAGCCAAGAAUUACAAACGAUUACUGAAGACUCAUUGGGCUGACAUUGGCAAAAAGGACUAGGUACGUCAAAAAGCAUCUCAACCAGACCUGUUAAAGUUUGCCUUUUGGUGAUGAUAAUGCUCUCUGUAGCUCAGGCUAAUCCCUCAGAUGCAGUUUCAGACUAGGGAAACAGUGUUUGGCAUAGGGCAGGCUUCUCAUCUCCACAUUCUCUGAUGACCGUCCUCCUGACAGAAGCUCCCAGCCUCUGCCUUUUCUUACUCUCCAGAUCCAAACAAUGGAAUACUACAAUCAGACAGCACAAAAGUACCACACAAGUUUUUCCUACUACAUUUUGGGUUAUUUCACUGAAAGUUAUUUGUUGUCCCACUGUGCUCACAUGACAAUAAAAACAACUUUUGCUAUAUUUAUUUUAUGGUGAUUGUGUGAAAUGACUAUAUUUUGAAAAAUCUUUGGCAUUAAAAUACAUUCACAAUGAAGAAUUAUCAAAAUGAAUGGACUGUCUGUCCAGAGUGUUUGAACUGUGGGAAACUGGAACAGUAAGUUAUACUUAUUUGUGGAGGUAUGUGGUUUCUAAUCUGAAAUCUGUUUCAGUUUGUUCCACACGAGAGGCCAUGGAAAAUACCAUCUCAAUAAAGCUUAUGCUUUCAAAAGCACUGCAAGUUGAAACUUUUGAUUUAUUUAUUAUUUUUAUUACUGGCUUUUUCUUUCUACCAAAGGUCAAAUGGCAUGGGGAAUAUGCCUAGUUAAAAAUAUUUAUUGAUUGAUUGUCAAAUGAAAAAGUUCUGAAAAUAUCUACAACC
This is a long non-coding RNA of Mus musculus (house mouse), 1259 nucleotides long. RefSeq annotates it as predicted gene, 41964. The transcript has 4 exons. The record is from RefSeq and is a predicted model, not a curated record. Lineage: Eukaryota; Metazoa; Chordata; Mammalia; Rodentia; Muridae.